Molecule: long non-coding RNA, 408 nt
Filed under: Pan troglodytes (chimpanzee)
Lineage: Eukaryota; Metazoa; Chordata; Mammalia; Primates; Hominidae
Description: long non-coding RNA NONPTRT009937
Source: RNAcentral
AUCAGAUCUUGUGACAACUCACUCACUUACUAUCAUGAAUACAGCAGCAGAGAAAUGGAGAUAUUUAAAAUUCAAAUAUAAAUGCCGAUGAAUAAAAUUUUAUUGGGACAUAGCUAUGCUCAUUCACUUAUGUAUUAUCUAUGACUGGUUUCACAUGGCAGAGUUGAGCAGCUGUGAAAGAGCCUAUUCUUAGGCAAAGCCUGCAAUAUUUGUUAUCUGAACUUUUACAAAAAAUGUUCUCAAUCCCUGCCCAGGAAGAUUGCCUGAGUCUGUCAUCUUACCCCAGCAGCAUCCAUCCCUUUGUAAAUAAGACUUUUGGUAGAAAUGGAAACAAUUAAAAAUAUUUAUAUGCUUUAAAAUAAUACAUUUAAUAAAAGGUAUCUAAAUCCUUGCAUAUAUGACUGUAAA